RNAcentral lists this small nucleolar RNA (186 nucleotides) under Spathaspora passalidarum NRRL Y-27907. The record is from RNAcentral. Lineage: Eukaryota; Fungi; Ascomycota; Pichiomycetes; Serinales; Debaryomycetaceae.
UUGGCCUCUUCGAAGAUCCUUAUACCUUUUCCUCCGUGGUAUAAUGAUUCAAAGCGAGGCCUAGAACUACGUUUUCACGACUAAUUUGGCUUCUUUUCUUACAGUAUCACUAGGAAAAAUCAGAUACGCUAUGGGAGAAGAGACUGAUAGUUUGCUCUAUUGGUUGAUAAUUAGUUUGAUACAUUU